This 942-nucleotide ribosomal RNA is filed under the name uncultured archaeon. RNAcentral describes it as "bacterial SSU rRNA". It matches the Rfam family "Archaeal small subunit ribosomal RNA", at positions 1 to 922 of the family's 1478-position model. The record is from RNAcentral.
UUCCGAUUGAUCCUGCCGGACCUUACUGCUAUCGGGGUGGGACUAAGACAUGCGAGUCGAGCGUCUCUAGCUAUGUUGAGACGCGGCAGACGGCUCAGUAACACGUGGCUAACCUACCCUCAGGACGAGGAUAAACCCGGGAAACUGGGGCUAAUACUCGAUAGGUGAGAAUGUCUGGAAUGAUUUCUCACUCAAAGGGCCUUGGGAACAUGCUUCCAAUGUCGCCUGGGGAUGGGGCCGCGUCCGAUCAGGUUGUUGGUGAGGUAAUGGCUCACCAAGCCUAUAACCGGUACGGGCCGUGAGAGCGGUAGCCCGGAGAUGGGUACUGAGACAAGGACCCAGGCCCUACGGGGCGCAGCAGUCGCGAAAACUCCGCAAUGCACGAAAGUGUGACGGGGCUACCCCGAGUGCCAUCCGCUGAGGGUGGCUUUUCCUUGGUAUAACUAGCCGAGGGAAUAAGGAGAGGGCAAGACUGGUGUCAGCCGCCGCGGUAAUACCAGCUCUCCGAGUGGUAGGGAUGAUUAUUGGGCUUAAAGCGUCCGUAGCCGGCUUAGCAAGUCUCCUGUUAAAUUCAGCGACCUAAUCGUUGAGCCGCGGGAGAUACUACUAAGCUAGGAGGCGGGAGAGGUCGACGGUACUUCUGGGGUAGGGGUGAAAUCCUAUAAUCCCAGGAGGACCACCAGUGGCGAAGGCUGUCGACUAGAACGCGCUCGACGGUGAGGGACGAAAGCUGGGGGAGCGAACCGGAUUAGAUACCCGGGUAGUCCCAGCCGUAAACGAUGCGGGCUAGGUGUUGGGAUGGCUACGUGCCAUUUCAGUGCCGCAGGGAAGCCAUUAAGCCCGCCGCCUGGGGAGUACGGCCGCAAGGCUGAAACUUAAAGGAAUUGGCGGGGGAGCACCACAAGGCGUGAAGCUUGCGGUUCAAUUGGAUUCAACGCCGGA